RNAcentral lists this ribosomal RNA (301 nucleotides) under uncultured bacterium. RNAcentral describes it as "partial 16S ribosomal RNA". It matches the Rfam family "Bacterial small subunit ribosomal RNA", at positions 509 to 809 of the family's 1533-position model. The record is from RNAcentral.
CAGUAGCCGCGGGAAUACGGAGGGGGCUAGCGUUGUUCGGAAUUACUGGGUGUAAAGCGCACGUAGGCGGCUUGGUAAAUUAGAGGUGAAAGCCUGGAGCUCAACUCCAGAAUUGCCUUUAAGACUGCCGAGCUAGCAGGUGAGAGAGGUAAGUGGAAUUCCGAGUGUAGAGGUGAAAUUCGUAGAUAUUCGGAAGAACACCAGUGGCGAAGGCGGCUUACUGGCUCAUACUGGACGCUGAGGUGCGAAAGCGUGGGGAGCAAACAGGAUUAGAUACCCCCGUAGUCCCUGUCUCUUAUAA